RNAcentral lists this ribosomal RNA (258 nucleotides) under uncultured soil bacterium. RNAcentral describes it as "partial 16S ribosomal RNA". It matches the Rfam family "Bacterial small subunit ribosomal RNA", at positions 26 to 280 of the family's 1533-position model. The record is from RNAcentral.
AGGAUGAACGCUGGCGGCGUGCUUAACACAUGCAAGUCGAACGAUGAAGGCUGGAGCUUGCUCUGGCUGGAUUAGUGGCGAACGGGUGAGUAACACGUGAGUAACCUGCCCCAGACUCUGGGGUAAGCGCUGGAAACGGCGUCUAAUACCGGAUACGAGCUUCCACCGCAUGGUGAGGAGCUGGAAAGAAUUUCGGUCUGGGAUGGACUCGCGGCCUAUCAGCUUGUUGGUGAGGUAAUGGCUCACCAAGGCGACGAC